This 237-nucleotide ribosomal RNA is filed under the name uncultured Atopobium sp. Its description in RNAcentral is "partial 16S ribosomal RNA". It matches the Rfam family "Bacterial small subunit ribosomal RNA", at positions 119 to 354 of the family's 1533-position model. Lineage: Bacteria; Bacillati; Actinomycetota; Coriobacteriia; Coriobacteriales; Atopobiaceae. The record is from RNAcentral.
GGGCAACCUGCCCUUUGCACUGGGAUAGCCUCGGGAAACCGAGGUUAAUACCGGAUACUCCAUAUUUGUCGCAUGGCGAAUAUGGGAAAGCUCCGGCGGCAAAGGAUGGGCCCGCGGCCUGUUAGCUAGUUGGUGGGGUAGUGGCCUACCAAGGCAAUGAUGGGUAGCCGGGUUGAGAGACCGACCGGCCAGAUUGGGACUGAGACACGGCCCAGACUCCUACGGGAGGCAGCAGAU